UGAUCAGAUUUACAAUGUUAUUGUUACCACCCACGCAUUCAUCAUUAUUUUCUCUAUGGUGACACCAAUCAUAAUUGGAGGAUUUGGUAACUGGCUAGUCCCUCUGAUAAUUGGUGCACGCAAUAUGGCAUUUCCCCAGAUAAAUAAUAUGAGCUUCUGACUCCUCCCCACCAUUUUCCUACUCCUACUUGCAUCCUCAAUAGUAGAAGCUGGUGCUGGGACCAGCUGAACAGUUUAUCCCUCUUUAGCAGGGAACCUAAUACAUGCAGGAGCCUCCUGUGGAUCUAACCAUCUUCUCACUCCACUUGGCAGGUGUUUCUUCUAUUUUAGGGGCCAUUAACUUUAUUACUACGAUUAUUAAUAUAAAACCCCCAGCUUUAUCCCAAUAUCAAACACCCCUUUCUUCUGAUCAGUCCUCAUUACCAUAGUCCUUCUACUCCUCUCUCUUCCU
Molecule: long non-coding RNA, 451 nt
Filed under: Homo sapiens (human)
Lineage: Eukaryota; Metazoa; Chordata; Mammalia; Primates; Hominidae
Description: non-protein coding lnc-OBSL1-9:1
Source: RNAcentral